UUCCGGUUGAUCCCGCCGGAGAUCACUGCUAUUGGAAUCCGGUUAAGGCAUGCGAGUCGAGAGGGUACGGCCCUCGGCAAACGGCUCAGUAACACGUGGAUAAUCUGCCCUUAGGUGGGGGAUAAUCUCGAGAAAUUGAGCAUAAUACCCCAUAGUUCUAGAUUGCUGGAAUGCUUCUAAAAUUAAAGCCCCGGCGCCUAAGGAUGAAUCUGCGGCCUAUCAGGUUGUAGUGAGUGUAACGGACUCACUAGCCGACGACGGGUACGGGUCCUGGAAGGGAGUGCCCGGAGAUGGACUCUGAGACACGAGUCCAGGCCCUACGGGGCGCAGCAGCUACGAAAACUUCACAAUGCGGGAAACCGUGAUGAGGGGAUUCCAAGUGCUAAUACUUUGUAUUAGCUGUUUACUUGUCUAAAAAACAGGUAGAGUAAGGGCUGGGUAAGACUGGUGCCAGCCGCCGCGGUAAUACCAGCAGCUCAAGUGGUGAUCGCUAUUAUUGGGCCUAAAGCGUCCGUAGCCGGUUUGGUAAACCCUUGGGUAAAUCGGGCAGCUUAACUGUCCGACUUCUGAGGAGACUGCCAGACUUGGGACCGGGAGAGGUCAGAGGUACUUCUAGGGUAGAGGUGAAAUUCUGUAAUCCUAGGAGGACCACCAGUGGCGAAGGCGUCUGACUAGAACGGGUCCGACGGUAAGGGACGAAACCCUGGGGCGCGAACCGGAUUAGAUACCCGGGUAGUCUAGGGCGUAAACGCUGCGGGCUUGGUGUUGGGGGUCCCACGAGGGCGUCCAGUGCCGGAGAGAAGUUGUUAAGCCCGCCGCCUGGGGAGUACGAUCGCAAGAUUGAAACUUAAAGGAAUUGGCGGGGGAGCACAGCAACGGGUGGAGCGUGCGGUUUAAUUGGAUUCAACGCCGGA
This 914-nucleotide ribosomal RNA is filed under the name uncultured archaeon. RNAcentral describes it as "bacterial SSU rRNA". It matches the Rfam family "Archaeal small subunit ribosomal RNA", at positions 1 to 922 of the family's 1478-position model. The record is from RNAcentral.